CACCGGCGGCCCGAGUGGUGGCCACUAUUAUUGGGUCUAAAGGGUCCGUAGCCGGUUUGAUCAGUCUUCCGGGAAAUCUGACAGCUCAACUGUUAGGCUUCCGGGGGAUACUGUCAGACUUGGGACCGGGAGAGGUAAGAGGUACUACAGGGGUAGGAGUGAAAUCUUGUAAUCCUUGUGGGACCACCAGUGGCGAAGGCGUCUUACCAGAACGGGUCCGACGGUGAGGGACGAAAGCUGGGGGCACGAACCGGAUUAGAUACCCGGGUAGUCCCAGCCGUAAACGAUGCUCGCUAGGUGUCUGGGAUGGUGCGACCGUUUCAGGUGCCGCAGGGAAGCCGUGAAACGAGCCACCUGGGAAGUACGGCCGCAAGGCUGAAACUUAAAGGAAUUGGCGGGGGAGCACUACAACGGGUGGAGCCUGCGGUUU
This 430-nucleotide ribosomal RNA is filed under the name uncultured archaeon. RNAcentral describes it as "bacterial SSU rRNA". It matches the Rfam family "Archaeal small subunit ribosomal RNA", at positions 474 to 903 of the family's 1478-position model. The record is from RNAcentral.